GCAUAUCAUAAGCGGAGGAAAAGAAACCAACAGGGAUUGCCCUAGUAACGGCGAGUGAAGCGGCAACAGCUCAAAUUUGAAAUCUGGCCCCCGGGUCCGAGUUGUAAUUUGUAGAGGAUGCUUUUGGUGCGGUACCUUCCGAGUUCUCUGGAACGAGACGCCAUAGAGGGUGAGAGCCCCGUCUGGUUGGACGCCAAACCUUUGUAAAGCUCCUUCGACGAGUCGAGUAGUUUGGGAAUGCUGCUCUAAAUGGGAGGUAUAUGUCUUCUAAAGCUAAAUAUUGGCCAGAGACCGAUAGCGCACAAGUAGAGUGAUCGAAAGAUGAAAAGCACUUUGAAAAGAGAGUUAAAAAGUACGUGAAAUUGUUGAAAGGGAAGCGCUCAUGACCAGACUUGGGCCCGGUUGAUCAUCCAGGGUUCUCCCUGGUGCACUCUUCCGGCCCAGGCCAGCAUCAGUUCGCUGUGGGGGAUAAAGGCUUCGGGAAUGUGGCUCCCUCGGGAGUGUUAUAGCCCGUCGUGUAAUACCCUGCGGCGGACUGAGGUUCGCGCAUUCGCAAGGAUGCUGGCGUAAUGGUCAUCAGCGACCCGUCUUGAAACACGGACCAAGGAGUCGUCUUCGUAUGCGAGUGUUCGGGUGUCAAACCCCUACGCGUAAUGAAAGUGAACGCAGGUGAGAGCUUCGGCGCAUCAUCGACCGAUCCUGAUGUUCUCGGAUGGAUUUGAGUAAGAGCAUACGGGGCCGGACCCGAAAGAAGGUGAACUAUGCCUGUAUAGGGUGAAGCCAGAGGAAAACUCUGGUGGAGGCUCGCAGCGGUUCUGACGUGCAAAUCGAUCGUCAAAUAUGGGCAUGGGGGCGAAAGACUAAUCGAAACCUUUCUAGUAGCUGGGUUUCCCGCCGAA
RNAcentral lists this ribosomal RNA (899 nucleotides) under Neonectria coccinea. RNAcentral describes it as "LSU rRNA". It matches the Rfam family "Eukaryotic large subunit ribosomal RNA", at positions 38 to 965 of the family's 3401-position model. Lineage: Eukaryota; Fungi; Ascomycota; Sordariomycetes; Hypocreales; Nectriaceae. The record is from RNAcentral.